AAGGGUAUAGCUAUAGGUAUUAAGUAACAGACUCUUACUCUGUAGAAGGGCACAGCUCUACCCUUA
Molecule: transfer RNA, 66 nt
Filed under: Gyrodactylus salaris (gyrodactylosis fluke)
Lineage: Eukaryota; Metazoa; Platyhelminthes; Monogenea; Gyrodactylidea; Gyrodactylidae
Description: tRNA-Lys
Source: RNAcentral